AACGUAGGGUGCAAGCGUUGUCCGGAAUUACUGGGUGUAAAGGGAGCGCAGGCGGGUUGACAAGUUGGGAGUGAAAACUACGGGCUCAACCCGUAACCUGCUUUCAAAACUGUCAGUCUUGAGUGGUGUAGAGGUAGGCGGAAUUCCCGGUGUAGCGGUGGAAUGCGUAGAUAUCGGGAGGAACACCAGUGGCGAAGGCGGCCUACUGGGCACUAACUGACGCUGAGGCUCGAAAGCAUGGGUAGCAAACAGG
This 253-nucleotide ribosomal RNA is filed under the name uncultured bacterium. Its description in RNAcentral is "partial 16S ribosomal RNA". It matches the Rfam family "Bacterial small subunit ribosomal RNA", at positions 524 to 776 of the family's 1533-position model. The record is from RNAcentral.